RNAcentral lists this ribosomal RNA (406 nucleotides) under uncultured bacterium. Its description in RNAcentral is "partial 16S ribosomal RNA". It matches the Rfam family "Bacterial small subunit ribosomal RNA", at positions 30 to 526 of the family's 1533-position model. The record is from RNAcentral.
AUUGAACGCUGGCGGCAGGCCUAACACAUGCAAGUCGAACGAGUGGCGGACGGGUGAGUAAUGUCUGGGAAACUGCCUGAUGGAGGGGGAUAACUACUGGAAACGGUAGCUAAUACCGCAUACCAUCGGAUGUGCCCAGAUGGGAUUAGCUAUUAGGGGGGGUAAAGGCUCACCUAGGCGACGAUCCCUAGCUGGUCUGAGCGGAUGACGAGCCACACUGGAACUGAUACACGGUCCAUACUCCUACGGUAGGCAGCAGUGGGGAAUAGUGCACAAUGGGAGCAAGCCUGAUGCAGCCAUGCCGCGUGUAUGAAGAAGUCCUGCGGGUUGUAAAGUACUUUCAGCGGUGAGGCGUUACCCGCAGAAGAAGCACCGGCUAACUCCGUGCCAGCAGCCGCGGUAAUUC